RNAcentral lists this non-coding RNA (20 nucleotides) under Arabidopsis thaliana (thale cress). Lineage: Eukaryota; Viridiplantae; Streptophyta; Magnoliopsida; Brassicales; Brassicaceae. RNAcentral also lists the same sequence under 1 other name. The record is from RNAcentral.
UUUGGAUUGAAGGGAGCUCC